RNAcentral lists this ribosomal RNA (427 nucleotides) under uncultured bacterium. Its description in RNAcentral is "bacterial SSU rRNA". It matches the Rfam family "Bacterial small subunit ribosomal RNA", at positions 355 to 774 of the family's 1533-position model. The record is from RNAcentral.
UGGGGAAUUUUGGGCAAUGGGCGCAAGCCUGAUCCAGCAAUGCCGCGUGCAGGAUGAAGGCCUUCGGGUUGUAAACCGCUUUUGUCAGGGAAGAAACGAGUUACUCUAAUACAGAGACUUAAUGACGGUACCUGAAGAAUAAGCACCGGCUAACUACGUGCCAGCAGCCGCGGUAAUACGUAGGGUGCGAGCGUUAAUCGGAAUUACUGGGCGUAAAGCGUGCGCAGGCGGUUAUAUAAGACAGAUGUGAAAUCCCCGGGCUCAACCUGGGACCUGCAUUUGUGACUGUAUAGCUAGAGUACGGUAGAGGGGGAUGGAAUUCCGCGUGUAGCAGUGACAUGCGUAGAUAUGCGGAGGAACACCGAUGGCGAAGGCAAUCCCCUGGACCUGUACUGACGCUCAUGCACGAAAGCGUGGGGAGCAAACA